This 406-nucleotide ribosomal RNA is filed under the name uncultured bacterium. RNAcentral's name for it is "partial 16S ribosomal RNA". It matches the Rfam family "Bacterial small subunit ribosomal RNA", at positions 29 to 526 of the family's 1533-position model. The record is from RNAcentral.
AUUGAACGCUGGCGGCAGGCCUAACACAUGCAAGUCGAGCGAGCGGCGGACGGGUGAGUAAUGUCUGGGAAACUGCCUGAUGGAGGGGGAUAACUAGUGGAAACGGUAGCUAAUACCGCAUACCAUCAGAUGUGCCCAGAUGGGAUUAGCUAGUAGGUGGGGUAAUGGCUCACCUAGGCGACGAUCCCUAGCAGGUCUGAGAGGAUGACCAGCCACACUGGAACUGAGACACGGUCCAGACGCCGACGGGAGGCAGCAGUGGGGAAUAUUGGGCAAUGGGCGCAAGCCUGAUGCAGCCAUGCCGCGUGUGUGAAGAAGGCCUUCGGGUUGUAAAGCACUUUCAGCGAGGAAGCGUUACUCGCAGAAGAAGCACCGGCUAACUCCGUGCCAGCCGCCGCGGUAAUAC